This 833-nucleotide long non-coding RNA is filed under the name Equus asinus (donkey). Its description in RNAcentral is "lncRNA (ENSEASG00005030230.1)". The record is from RNAcentral. Lineage: Eukaryota; Metazoa; Chordata; Mammalia; Perissodactyla; Equidae.
CAAAGGGGAGAGAGGGCCAGGAGGGAGAGGAUUAAGAAUUACCCAAGUUCCAUAAACAUGACCGGAGACAGCCCUUAGGACUGGAAUGUGACAAAAGGAAAGUGCCUGGAGAAAUGCUGUGUCUGCAGGAGGGAGAGGGGAACCAGCCAUAACCGGGCUCUGGGCUGUGAGUUUUACAUACAUUCACUACGCAUGAAAAACCCUGGGAGGACCGAGCAGAAGCCGGACUCUGAAGUCUGAAGUCACACGGCUAAUAGAUGGAGGAGCUGGGAUUUCAUUGUGCGGUUCCCAGGGCCCUUGCUGGCAGGAAGAGGCAUCCAGAUUGCAGAUGUACUUGUUCCUGUUCCUGGCAAGACCCACUUCCCACUGUGACUGACAAGUUUUGGACCCAGUGGCAACGUGGAGUAGAAGAAAGAGCAUGGAUUUUAGAGUGAGACUGGCUCCCCGACUCAUUAGCCUGCAAGUUCCUUAACCUUUCUAAGAUGCAUUUUCCUCCCUUAUUUGUAAAAUGGGGUUUACUAAGAUCUACCCUGAGAAGCUAUCGUAAGGAAUGCCUAAGCUAGUACUGGCACACAGCUGCAGCUCAAUGAAUGGUAGAGAUUUUCCAAACGCAUUGACAUCCUGAUUUGUCAAUCAGUCUUUUGUGAGUUCGUCUUGCAGCCAUGGAGUAGCAACAGAGUCAAGGUAAGUGCCGGUGUCACGGAGAUAUUCCUUCAGAGUCAGAGCGACGGACGCUCAGCAGAGUCUUCCAGAGAAGAUGGGACUUCAAACCGCACAUGCAAGGAUGGUUAGGACCUGGAGAGAAAGGACAUCCUCUCACGCAGCAAUUCCAG